This 376-nucleotide ribosomal RNA is filed under the name Grania chilensis. Its description in RNAcentral is "partial 12S ribosomal RNA". It matches the Rfam family "Bacterial small subunit ribosomal RNA", at positions 875 to 1414 of the family's 1533-position model. The record is from RNAcentral. Lineage: Eukaryota; Metazoa; Annelida; Clitellata; Enchytraeida; Enchytraeidae.
UAAAGACAUAUAAAUAUGCCGGUCAAUACAAACUAUAGUUUAAAAUCCAAAGAAUUUGGCGGUAUCUUAAAUAAUCAGGGGAACCUGUACCUUAAUUUGAUACUCCACACACAUCUAACCUCUCCUUGAACUUCAGCCUGUGUACUGCUGUCGUCAGUAAACCCCUAAAGGUAUAGUUUACAACAAUAAUAUCUAUACACGUCAAGUCAAAGUGCAGCUUAUGGAGAGGGGGAAUAUGGGUUACAACUUCCAAAUAAAUACAAAUUAUUAAAAUAAAAGUAAUAUGAAGGUGGACUUGAAAGUAAUACUUAUAAAUAAUUAGUAUAAAUAAGAACCUAAGAUAUGCACACAUCGCCCGUCGCUCUCGUUCAAUUUG